CUCAAAAUCAUUUUUAUUUAAUGAUUUUUGACUUCCACUGGUACAGUUGUCAGGAUUAAUAAGAAUAGUAACAGCUAAUAUAUAUUUGUUUACAAAAUAUUUUAAAAUUUGUUGUCUUCUUUGGCUUCCAAAGCAACUGUGAGGUAGAUUGGACCAAUAACAUUGUUAUCCCAAAGCAGAGAAGAUUCUGAGCAGAGAAAUUCAGUGACAUGCUUAAAAUCACAACAGGAGGAAAUUGUUCAGGGGUACUGCUUCAGUCCUGAUGAUUGGACUCAGAAUCCUGACCCCAUUCAGCUAUCUGGAAAUAAUUUCAGCUGCCAUUGCUACUGAAUCUGAUUCUGUAUCACCAAGAACUGCAUACAUUACAAAGGUGGAAUAUUUCCUUUUUUCUUUCAAUAUUCCUCCUUCCCAUCAAUUUUACUUGAUCUUUUUUUAAGCUACUCUGGUACAUUAAACCAGUAUCCUUUUAGAGAAUAGUAGGCAAUUCCUCCCUUUUUUUCUUACUGUAGUCUGAGUUAUUAGCUUAUAAGAAAAUUAAAGUAUUUCUGUAAGGGACUCUGUCCUUAUUAAGGUUUGGUGAAAAUAUUCCUGUCCAUUUACACAGACUAGCAGGUUCUGUGAUUUGCAUUAGUGGCCUUUCACUAGUCAGAAACAAGUGUCAUCUGCAUACCUUAUAUCUCACUAUAUAUUUACACGAUAAUUUGUGACAAAGGUUAAGCAAGGUAAGUCAUGCACUGAUAAUCUGAGGAAUAAUAGUCAGAUUCCUCCAUUCACAGCCCAUUUAUCCUUGCCUCUGAUCCAUUCCCAUUCCUGUACAACCCAGCUUUCCUGCAUUUACUCAGAGCUCUCAAGUCUUCACUGGUGACAGAACUAUUAAGACCGUUCCCUAUAAAGCAUCCUUGCAUAAUUCCAUGUUCGCAGGAACUACCAUCAAUUAGGUGGACAGCCACUCCUUCAGGACUCACUAAGGCUGCAUUGUCCCACACCCAUGUACCACUCAUUGGUCAAAACCAAUUUCAGCCAUUCCUUAGCUAACCACGUAGUCAUCUCUCCUGGAAGCCCUCCCAGAACACCUAUCGGUACCACCCUCUACUCUUCCUCGUGUGUGGCACUUGUUUGCUCUUCCUCAUCCUGUGACCACUUUGGCUCCUGAUUCAGUCUUCCCUGACACUUCUGACACCUGAUUCAGUUCUUUUCUGUUGUGAGGGAUGAUGCCCUUCCUUGUUCCAAUUUCCAAGAAAGGGUAAGAGUAACUAGUAAAUAGGAAGUACUGGUAAGUGGUGUAAUGAGUUAGCUCUUUGUGCUUCCUCCCUAAAGUCCCUAUUAUUAUUAAACAUAUUUGAAAUCUCAAGGUACUGGCACUGAAUCACUUAUCAUUUCAUUUAUGUACAAUCAAGUGCUUGCUUAACCCUGGAAGAGGCAGAGAUCAUGAGCUUUGCAGUCAGUAAGAGAUGUGUUCACAUCACUUACUAGUAUGAAACCCUCAGCAGGACACUUACCUUCUCAAAACCUCAUUUUCCUUGUCUGUAAAAUAGAGAUAAUCAUCCUGACCUCACUUAGUACAGUGCCUCGUUUAGGAUGAAGGUCAGAAAAUGUUAGCUAUUGUUAUUUACACAUGACUGUUAUUGGCAUUUAGAAGGGAUUAAAUCCUUGGAAUUAUUCUCAGUCCUCAUAUGCCUCAUGACCAGGACCGCUGCUCUCCACACCAUGGGAGUUAAUUGUACAGAAAACAGAACUAUCUUUGCUAAAGUGGAAGAAGGAAGCCUUAUGUAAGAUCGCCGUACAGAGCUUUUGACCUUGCCAGGCUUAAAUGUCACAAUCGGGCAGUAAAUGAUUAUUUACCAGUCAGAAUUACUCUGGAAAUAAGUGUUGUUUUAAGGCAUGGACACCUGUCUAUAAGAAUUCAGAGUCUUCUGACAAUGUACAGGAUGGUUUUCACAUUUCAAAACUUCUGAGUUUUGACUUAGUCCUGAAAGGUGGGAUUUGGUUAUGUGUUCCUUUUACAUAUCUUGCAAAAACUUGAGUCAAAUUCUGCCCUAAAUUUCAAGAUGAAAGCUGCUGGCUAAUUUUCCCCAAGACUGAAAUACAUAUAACUAAGAUAUUUUCCUGUUUUUCUUCCUCUGCCAAUUAGCACCAAUACAGAUGAAAAACCUAAAGAGAAUACCCAUUUAAGUCCUUAAGAAGACAGCGGCAUACAACCUCAAACUCUGCAAACAAAUCAGGAAAACAGCAGGUACCUACUGUACAUAUCGAAUUCAUAAUGUUGUCAGGAACUCAAAUACUGAAAAUGAGAACAGGAUUUGCACAUGAUGAUGCUCUAGUUGCAUCACUGGUACCAGGGGAGUUAGAAAGUACUUCAGGAAGUGGAAAGGCCUUGGUGGUUGUUUUUCUUGGGACUCUGGUUGCUUCCAGGGAGUUGGGUGAGGACUGUCAGCGCUGUGCCCAGGCACUGUUUUCACAAAGCUUUCCGCAGGUUUGUGCAGUGAUGCCACGAACCUUUGAGAAGGAAGCUUUCGUUUUCCUUGUGGAACCCAUGCAUUUGCCACUUGGGUGUGCCUCCCAGUCCCCCACUUCCCUUCAAUGUGCAGUGUCACCUCAGGAUUCUGAGGAGACUCUGGACUUCCCCUCCUCUGCUUCCCCACUCUCCCUGAAUUCUCUGCCACAGCUGGCCUCCCGACUGCUCUGUCCUUUCUAUCUGUCCCCCACAGAGGCUUGUCACCACACCUCAUUCCUGCAAUCCAGGAAUUCAGAUACCAGCUUACUAGCAUAGCUGUUGUCCUGAAUGUUCAGCUGUUUGCUACAGGAUUGGGGUGAAAGGGAAAUUAUACUACAACCCAAAGUGGCACACAACUUAGAAUUGAAUAUUAGAAAUCACCAAACUAAAAAAUAAAGUUUUACUGCAACACAUUCUCACCCACUGUCAGCCUACUUACCACUACAACAGCUGAGUGAAUAGAAGCCACAGAGAGGGCAGCCACCGUGGCUCAGCAGUUUAGUGUUGCCUUCAGCCCAGGAGACCUGGGAUGGAGUCCCACGUCAGGCUCCCUGCAGAGGGAGGCUGCUUCUCCCUCUGUCUCUCUCUCUCUCUCUCUCUCUCUUCUCCCUCUGCCUGUCUCUCUCUCUCUCUCAUGAAUAAAUAAAAAAAAAAAAAGAAGAAGCCACAGAGACCUUGAGACUGUAUGAUUGUCUCUGCAAAAGUUAACUUAAAAACUAUUUCACAAGAGGGCUUAAAAUAACAUUUAAUUUCUCCUCAUUCCUGCCAAGUGACUUUCCCAAACAUUUUACUACCUUUCUUCCAGUUUAGUUGCAAUAACCUGGCUCAGAAUCCACUUACUCAAGAAGCUCUAAGUGCUCCAAACCAAAAUGAUGUCUUUCUUUAAAACUCAAAGCACUUGCUGUCUAUAACAAUAUUUUAAAAGCAAACUAUUUCCUCUUAAGUACUCAUUAUCAAAAACAUAGAAAAUGAAGAAAAAUAUAAAAAAUAUAAGAAUUACCUGAAAUAGCCUCCACCCACUGGUUAGUAUUCUUAAGCUUCUUUGCAUGUUGUUUUACAUUUGCAGGAUUAUAAAGAGAUCAUAUUGACUGUAUAAUAUUGAAUUCUGAUUUUGUUUUCACCAAAUGACAACCGUUUCCUUUAUAAAAAACUUAUAUCCUAUAGUAGUCAGUAUUUCAUUUGUUAUUUUGCCUAUUAACACUAUUGUAUUCAUUUGCUCAUUCCUGCAUUCUUCAAACAUGCAUUAGUUAUUUAUAAAAUGUACCAUAUAUUGUGCUUCUAUCUUUUUUCUCAUGUGCUAACUUAUGAGUAAAGGCUCACUUUUUAAAUUUCCCUAAAUUUCUGAAUAGAGACUUAAUCAAAUGAGAAGUGUAAAUAUUUGAGAGAAAAUUUAUCAGAAAUUCAUUAUAACUAACCAUUUAGAAUUUUUCUCUUACAUCAAGGUAUGGGUCAAAUUGUGUACAUUGACUGUGGAUCAACUUUUAAUAAAAUGGGAGGAAGUCAUUAAUGAAUUUGUCUCCAAUCUCCUUCUAAGACUGGAAUUUUGGCCAUUAGUUCUACAGGAGAAAGGUUGAUCAUGUGGUAGACCAGGAGUGAGUCACAGUCUGUAGCUUGCUUAAGACCUGGGCACCCAGGGAUCCCUGGGUGGCUCAGCAGUUGAGCGUCUGCCUUCAGCUCAGGGCCGGAUCCUGGAGUCCCGGGAUCAAGUCCCACGUCGGGCUCCCUAUAUGGAGUCUGCUUCUCCCUCUGCCUGUGUCUCUGCCUCUCUCUCUCUCUCUCUCUCUGUGUCUCUCAUAAAAAAAUAAAUAAAAUCUUAAAAAAAAAAAAAAA
RNAcentral lists this long non-coding RNA (4324 nucleotides) under Canis lupus familiaris (dog). RNAcentral describes it as "lncRNA (ENSCAFG00845002389.1)". Lineage: Eukaryota; Metazoa; Chordata; Mammalia; Carnivora; Canidae. The record is from RNAcentral.